RNAcentral lists this long non-coding RNA (5139 nucleotides) under Androctonus crassicauda. The record is from RNAcentral. Lineage: Eukaryota; Metazoa; Arthropoda; Arachnida; Scorpiones; Buthidae.
AAUUGUAGAUAAGCGUUUCGACAUAUAUAUAUAUAUAUACAUUCUUGCAAUAAAACUGAUUUUUUUUCAUUUUGUUAGCUCAACUGAAUGGGUAAUCAGUUUGUCUAUUUUCUGCCACUGUAGUGAUUAGAUUAAAGUACUGCAUGAUGAACUGACAACACAUCUUUGUAAGGUAAUUGCUACUGCAGAAACUUUUUGGACACAGCAGAAAUAGAAUGCUAAUUGGGUCUUUGAUCUGCAUGAACUGCAAGUCCAUUACUAUAUAACCUGCUGGGAGCUUCAUUAACUAUCCUUUGAAAAGAAUAAGCACAUGGAAUUAGAAUUUAUCCUGUUUUAUGAUGUCUGUUUGACUUCUGUUUCUUUACUUUUGCUAAAUUUUCCCUUAAGCACAUCUUAAUCAAGAUGAUUGUGAAAUAUGCAAAAAGUUUUCUAUUAUAUCAUAAAGGGGGAAAUUCACUUUCAUAUAUGAAUGUUUUUAAAGAUUUAAACCACUAAGUUUUUUUUUUGCUUAAAAAAUAAUUUUAAACCUGGCGCCAAAAUUUUUUUAGAUAUUUAAGUUAUAUUUUAUUUAAAGCAGUUAGAACAAGUUAGGACUUUGUCAAUGUUGUCAACUAUGGUUAUUGGUUGACAAUUGCGAUCUAAAUUAAAACUUGGCGAACUAAAAUCUAAAAAUAAGAUAUAAUUAUCGUAUGGACACAACCACGUUAACCAUGUGAACUUCCAGUUACUUCGUAUUGAUUAAAUCUCUCUACUAAUAUUAUUGUUUCUUCCUGGUUUUGUGUGUCAGACAACGAAUCGAAUGCGACAAGAAUGCCUGUCAGUAGUACUAGAGAGAAAGUUGUCUUGCCAAACAGGUUUUUUUUUUCCAUAAUUUUUACUUCAUCCAUUCAAUUCCCGCUGCUACAAUUCUUCCCUUUAACUAACCGGGAAAAUUCAUUUGUAGAUGCUUAUAUAACGAGUAAUGAAAACCCUACUUUCUUUUGUAAUUUCUUUAUAUACUACUACACAACUGUAAGUUAGAUGGUUGUAGUUAAACUAAAAGUAAUAUGAAACUGGUCUUUCCCUGUAAUUAUAAAACUAGUUUUUCUAUAGAAGGCUGUUCUUUACUGAUUCGUCUUGGGAUUGUUUUAGUUGUGGUUGGCGAUGGUCGGUUUGUGUUCUCACGUUACUCUCCUACCCCAACAUAUCCAGCUGAAGUCUAUAAUUAUCAACUGUAACGUAAUCCGAACCAACUUGACAUAACAUCCUCUGCUUAUUAGUGAAUUUUCUCUAUAAAAUAAUUAAGAAGCAUAGUAGUGGAAUUUUUUUAUUUACUAAUAAUUUAUUAAUCUGCAUUAACAUAGAAUUUUGUACUUAACUUUUUUAAAAACAAAAAGGUUUUUUUUUUGACUGGAGAAAAUGGAAUUAUUUUCUAGAAACGAUGAUGUAACUUCCAGUUAGGAAAAUUGCUGUUGUGCUUAUGCAUUCAGCAGAUGAUGACAAAUAGGACAAUGAACUUUUAUUUUAGCUUCGAUAAGAAUGUUUUAACUAUUUAAAACUUUUAUAAUAGCUUUAUGACUGCUUUCUGGCAUCAGUUGGAAGCAAAUAUUGAUGUAAAACAAAAUGGCGAGAUUCAAAGAGACUGCUCUCUACAUAGGAAGAGGCAAAUGAGGAAAGAGGGGGCCAGAUAGGAGAGGUUCACGAAGUCAACUUGAUCUCGCUGGGGAGGUUUAAACUUCAAGGUCUCUCUGUUCAUGAUUGAAAAAGCACGAAGAUUCAAAACUAAAUUUUGACCAUUUGUUAAAGUAAUUUAAUCACUACAUCUGCAUUAAAAUUUUGUUACUGAUGACUUUUGAGUAACUAACAAAAAACACAGAUCAAAUAUUAAUGUAAAAUAAUGCUGUUUUUUUACUAAUUCUGUUCUACCAACAAUUUAGUCUAUAUAAGUUUAUUAUGACUCAAAUUUUUCUCUAUGGGCGCAAUUCGAUUCUGAAUUAAGACAAUGUGUAAAGACAAGAUAAUUAUUUAAAAAUCAUCAUCAUUCACUUCCAACAAAUCAGUUUUGACACCAUAUAUCAGUCAUACAGUUAAUAGUACUGGCGAUAAUUGCUUAAUUCUAUUCCACGGUGAUCUUUUCCCAGAGUCAUCGAAUAAUAAGGUAAUCAAUACAUCAUCACAGAUUCGGAAUACUAUACAUUAUUGCUGCAACCGUUAUGAAAAGAAAAAAAGAUAACUGUGUGCAAUUUUCGUUACUCCUGCUUGAAAAUACCCAUUUAUAGGUUUAUCUUUUCAAUAUUCAGUGCACGACUACACACAAACUGCGAAAACCUAGCUGUACCUUCGCGUGUUUAAAUGAUGGUAAGGCAAGUUUUCCUGACAAACACCGUUGUUUGUCCACAUCAAUUGUUUCCUGAGUUUAUGUGCCGCAUAACAAGCCUACAGUACAUAGUAAUUUUCUAUUUUUUUUUUCUUGUUUUUAUUUCAGUUAUAGAUGGUUCCUGCAAAUAUUGCGUGUAUUAUGCCCAUUCAUUGAUUUUUUUUUUUUUUGGUAAACAGAACGUUGAAAAAUUUUAAUUCUUUCUGCUGAUUUCUAUUAUUGAAUUUUAAUAGUUGUUAACUUCGUGAAAAGAACCAUUUAGUUACCAAUUCGUGAACAUGUGGUUAUUUCGAAUAUUUUCCGAUGCUGCUGUUUAUCCGAGUAUUAGGAUUAAACUUUUAACGAUUCAGCGAAAAUUGAUUAUAUUACGAAGUGAAGUGUUUUCUCGAUUAUUUUAGCAAUAAUCUUAAAGCGCAGCGAGUUUCUUGAUCCCUUUUUUUAGAUUUUAUUAGCUUAAAUAUAUAGUAAUGACUUGUUUAAGUGUUCUUCUCGAAAGAUGCUAUAAUGGACCUAUUUAGGUCAUGGUUAAAAUAAGACGAGUUCUACAAAAAACUACCAGGUUAAGGUCUGUAAAAACAUCACCACACCAAAUAGAUGGUAUAUCAGUUACCAGGGUCGUAAAAAUAUAAAAUCAGUUGACAUUUGGAAAGUAAAGAUUACAUAACUCUGGAGGCAAAACCUUUUAUCGGGCCCCACUAGUGCAAACUCUCACAGUAAAGGAUAGUUUUUUUAAUGAACGUAAGGUCACAACCGUUACGGUAUCAAUUAAGGAAUAGAAUAUGUAAAAAACCUGUAUUUAUAAUCGAUGCUGCACUUUCGUAGAUAUUUCGGUCACCACAACUGGUAUUUUGAAGCAACAAAUGUCACGGAUAUCACGAAAAGAUAUGCAUAAGGGGAAGAAAAAAAUUUCCUCUCCUAGUAUCAAGUAGAUAGGAAAAACGGGUUAACAAGCUCCAGCUGCAGAUAACAUUCAGUGCAAGCUAUCACGACUAUAGAAAGUGGUACAACAAAAUACUCUGUAUAGUAAACUUCAGAACUGUUCAGACAAGAAUAGAGAUUGGAAGUCGUAAAACUGAACCUUGUUUCGUUUCAGUUCCCUUGUAAAAUAUCAAUACCUACAAUAGCUUAUAAAUUUCACUUUUUUUUUUUCCUAUUCGGAAAAAUUUUUUUUGUUGUAUGAUAUUUAAAGACAGAAUACUUCUACGACGCUAUAAACAGAUUUUUCGGACUAAACCAAUUGGGAAUAGUUGUGGUCAACCAACUUCUUUCUCUAGGGAGGAGUGUCUCGCCAGUUGCCAUCGUUUAUCAAGAUGAUGUCAAGUUUUGUCUUUCGGCUGAAUAAGCUCAGGCUCUCUAAACCACUUAAAUAUAUUUAAAAAGUAAAAGAAAAUGGAAAAAGAGACGAGACUAUGCCCAUUCUAUUCGAUUGAAAUCUUUUGAUAGUCUAUUAGAUUAUUUUGCUUGUUUUCGGUUCGACUCGUUAAAUCAUAAGUUGGCCACAAAUUGGUAAAUAUAUGAGUUUUCGCAGAAAUGAACUUAGAACAUGUUUGUUCAGCAGCUGAUCAGCCGUCCAUCAUUGAAUGAAUAGACAGGAAGUGGCACUAGACUUUAUAACCCGGACGUCACGGUUUUAACGUCUGCUUGAGCAAUUAGUGACUUGGCUAUUCUAUGUGUACACCUUCUGUUGAUAAAUAAUUUCUCGUUGCUGUCAUUUGGGUGCUGCCUGGGGUAACUUGCUAUCAAUGGCUGUUGUUUCUCCUUUAGAUCUGGCACAAGGACAGAAUACUCACUUUGAGUUAAUAAUGAAGGCAGACAUGUGUUUGUGAUGUGGGCUUUUGUUGUGUUGUGCGUAUUAUGCAAGCCGCGAUUAAAAGGGUUCUAGAAAAUUUGAUUAACAACGGAAGCGAACUAUCAACGCAAAUAUAAGUUUAUAAUAAAUCUGUCUAACAAAAGUUUGAUAGCAAAGAAUGUUAGAAACCCAUCACUAACAGCCGUGUCUCAAGUAUAUAUAAUAAUUUUAAAUUUUCUAACAAUGUUCUUUCAAAUUUUUCUUAUUUGAAAAAGAAAAACUUCAUUCAAAAUAUUAUAAUCUACUUCUGAUUCCAAAUAUGUACCUCAAGUCCUUAUAAAGUCAUUGGCACCUAAGAGUUCUUAAAUUAAUAUCGAUAGUACUUGAUAUAGUAUACAGUACUGCACUUCCGUGAGUAGAGAGACUUUGUCCAAAAAUACGAGCAAAGUCCGUAAUCUUAUCUGUCAUCCUAGGAGUAAAUAAGCGUAUUUUUAAAUAUUAUACACGAGUCUUGAAAAAUCCAAAACAUGGCACGCAACAUAGCGAAUUCUGAAAGCUAACGUACUCUGAAUGUUUACAUUAAGGCUUCGCAAAACCGAACAUUAACAGUCGAAGAAGGUUGCCAAUGUAAACAUACUCGUCGCCGUACAAGAGUGAAUAAACAAUCAGUGAUCACUCUUGCAACCCCUUAGAAAUUAGCGAGUUAGUAAUAACAAAAUGGAUGCAAACAGGAAAUAGUCUCUCGUUUUGUCCAUUUUGUUCUUUUUUUUUCGCUGGGAACUCGUUAGCUACAAAAUAACUGCAUUAAACUUAUUCAUCGCUUUGACGUCGUCCUCUGUAGAUCUAGUAGAAAUGUCUGAGUUUAAGAAUUUAUCUUUUAAGAAUUAUAUAACCAAAUUCUUAUUCUUUUUUUUUUAAUUCUAAAAAUGCCGUCGUUACAUGGGGGCUGCGUAAUUUCCCCCAGUUUUUAAAAAAAAAAAAAAAAAAAAAGUGC